GAGACCCUGUACACUGGACACAACCCCUGAACAAGCCACCUUCAACUGAUCGCUCAAACCCCGUACCAUCGUCAGAGCUCUCGACUCCAUCUCCUAUGAGGAGGCAUCCACACAUACACAUUGAGAAUGUGUCUGAUAGACAGUCUGAACUGUUACAUUCUCCGGCAGUUCUUUGGGCUGCCCUUCCUUCCAUUCUUUCCAUCUUUGCAGUAACUGCUCCGGAGCACCUCCUAGCUGCUGGUUGGCACUGGCCAAGGUAACCCGGGCACUUUCCAGCAGGUCCAUAGUGCUGGUCAUUUGAGUCACAGCUGCAUGCGUAGUGUCUCUGGCUUUGCGGGCCCUAAUGAGAGACUGUUCAAGCGCCCUCUCCCGAACUUUGGCUGACAGUUUACCCAGGCGGACAAAAUAGCUGGGUCUAGUAGUUACUAUGAAUCCUUCCUCCUCACCUGGUCUUGGUUCAGCCAGCGCAGCUGUAGGCAGAAACAACACUGGUGGUGUCAAUAUCUUACAUUCAUACAUAUCAAAAGUUUGAGGUCAUUCAAAUAUUUUUAUGUUUUUCAGAAGUUUCUUAUGCUCACCAAGACUACAUUAAUUUGACCAAGAAUACAGAGAUAAUAUUACAAUUUAAAAACCCAUUUUUGUAUUUGAAUAUCUUUUCAGAUGUAAUUUAUUUCUGUGAAUGCAAAGCAGCAGCCAUUAUUCCAGUCUACAGUGUCGCAUGAUCCUUCAGGAAUCAUUCUAAUAUGCUGAUUUGAUGCUCAAAAAAUCUUAAUAUCAUCACAUUAUCAAUUUUGAAAACAUUUAGACUGCUUAACAUUUUUGUGGAAACCAUUAAGUUCAAAAGAACAGCAUUUAUUUGAAAUAGAUUCUUUUUUCAAUUUAUAUACAUUUACUGUCACCUUUGAACAAUUUAAUCCAUGCUUUCUACAUUAAAAUAUAUUUGUAAAAAUGACUGAAUCCAAACUUUUGAACAAUAUUGUAUAUACAUAUAAUAAAAUACAUAAAUAUAAAUAUACAUGAAAUAAA
This is a long non-coding RNA of Carassius gibelio (silver crucian carp), 1026 nucleotides long. RefSeq lists it as uncharacterized. The record is from RefSeq and is a predicted model, not a curated record. The transcript is spliced from 2 exons. Lineage: Eukaryota; Metazoa; Chordata; Actinopteri; Cypriniformes; Cyprinidae.